UACAGAGGGGGCAAGCGUUGUUCGGAAUUACUGGGCGUAAAGGGCGCGUAGGCGGCCUGCUAAGUCGAACGUGAAAUCCCCGGGCUCAACCCGGGAACUGCGUCCGAUACUGGCAGGCUUGAAUUCGGGAGAGGGAUGCGGAAUUCCAGGUGUAGCGGUGAAAUGCGUAGAUAUCAGGAGGAACACCGGCGGCGAAGGCGGCAUCCUGGACCGGCAUUGACGCUGAGGCGCGAAAGCCAGGGGAGCAAACGGG
This 253-nucleotide ribosomal RNA is filed under the name uncultured bacterium. Its description in RNAcentral is "partial 16S ribosomal RNA". It matches the Rfam family "Bacterial small subunit ribosomal RNA", at positions 524 to 776 of the family's 1533-position model. The record is from RNAcentral.